Molecule: small nuclear RNA, 156 nt
Organism: Echinops telfairi (small Madagascar hedgehog)
Lineage: Eukaryota; Metazoa; Chordata; Mammalia; Afrosoricida; Tenrecidae
Product: U1 spliceosomal RNA
Exons: 1
Source: RefSeq, a predicted model, not a curated record
AUACUUACCUGGCAUGGGUGAGGCCAUGAUAACACAGAUGGUUUUCCCAGGGCCAGGCUUAGGCAUUACAUUUUGGAUGUGGGGAAUUUGACUGUCAGUUUGUUGUAGUGUUGUGGCUUCAUAUGUUGCUGUGAUGCUGGAAACUUCCACCAGUAU